This is an RNA transcript of Chelonus insularis, 2492 nucleotides long. It is a transcript of the gene named parathyroid hormone/parathyroid hormone-related peptide receptor-like, with no coding region annotated. Lineage: Eukaryota; Metazoa; Arthropoda; Insecta; Hymenoptera; Braconidae. The record is from RefSeq and is a predicted model, not a curated record. The transcript is spliced from 13 exons.
ACAAAAUUUGAAAAUUAUUUCAUCUGUUUUUCAAGAUAUUAACUUUAGAUUCGACAUAUUUUUUUUAAUUUUAAAAGUGACAAGUGAAUUGAAAUACGUUAAUGAGGAACAGUAGUUUGAUACUUAUAUUUUAUUAUUAUUAUUGUUAUUAUUAUUAUUAUUAUUAUCAAGAUAAAUACUCGAAAAAUUAAAACAUUCCAGCGUUUGCGUUGAACAAGUGUCUUCAAAGCUGUCAUUGAAGUAAAUAUCAGAGAGCCGAUAAUCCAUAUAAACAGUGAUCGAACGUAUCAAUACUUGAUAAAUACAUAUUGAGUUUUAUUCUAAGAUUAUAUAUUAAUUUUAUAAUCAAGUUACAAAGUUAUUCUUUUAAUUGAUUUCAUAGUAUGAGUGACUUUAAAAUCACCAUAAAGACACAGAGUGCUUUAGAAAUUUCCUGAAUAUUAUUUCGUAUUAACAAUAAUCAUAUAAAUCAAUUCAACAUGGACAGAAUAUUACAUCGUUAAUUGUUUCAUCAUAAUUAUACUACAAUUAAAAGAUUACAGUCAAAGAGAAAAAGGACUAGGUGGAAUAGUUGGAAGAAAAGGGUGGUUAUAAAUGAACGUCAUGUCCCUUCAUGAUGACAUCGAUUUCAAUAGCCCCAGUAUCCAGCAGCAAAUGCUUGAGUGGCAGGCAAAAAAAUGUAACAAUGGUUCAAUCCCUAAAAAAGGCUGGUGCCCAGAAAUCUGGGAUAGUAUUCUUUGUUGGCCUUCUACUGCUCCUGGAGAGUUAGCAGCACUUCCUUGUCCCCAUUAUAUCGCUGGAUUUGAUUUACAGGCUAAUGCAACAAGACAAUGUAACUCGAAUGGACAAUGGUAUUGGAGUAUGGAAACUAACAGUACAUGGAGUAAUUAUACUGGAUGUUACAGCGCAAAAUUCGUUACCGUUCUCAUGGAUAUGCCGGAACUACAAUCAGGCAAUGUCACGUUGAUAAAGAAAUACUUACCCGUUGUGAAACUUAUAUCUACUGUUGGGUAUGCUGUUUCUCUCUCAACCCUUAUUGUAGCCUUCUGCAUUCUAAUUGCUAUAAAGAAACUUCGAUGUCCACGGAAUAUGCUUCAUAUGCACCUCUUUGUAUCAUUUAUGCUACGAGCUUUCAUGGCGUUACUCAAAGAAAUACUUUUUAUCUCUGGAAUUGGAUUGUCUUCUGAUGUAAUUAUCAAAAAUGGAGAAAGUUACUGGUUUGAUGAUAGUCUGGAAAGUAAUUGGCAUUGUAAAGCCUUUACAAGUAUUUGGCAAUACUUUAUACUGGCUAAUUAUUCUUGGAUUCUUAUGGAAGGUCUUUACCUGCAUAAUUUAAUCUUUUUUGCAUUAUUUACUGAUUCUAAUUCGAGCAUUGGUGGUUACGUCAUACUUGGCUGGGGUUUACCAGCAAUUUUUGUCCUGCCUUGGAUUUUUAUGAGAGUUUCACUUGAAGAUACAUUUUGUUGGACUACAAAUGAAAACUCUUACGUCUUUUUAGCGAUACGUAUUCCUAUAAUACUUUCUGUUUUAAUUAAUUUUGUUUUAUUUGUUAAUAUUGUCCGUGUUCUAUUCUCGAAACUAAAAUCGUCAGUUUCCGAAGAAACACAUCGAUACAAACGAUGGAUUAGGAGUACUCUUGUCCUUGUUCCACUUUUCGGAGUGCAUUAUACUGUUUUCUUGGGAUUAUCUUACAGCAUUGGUAUUGAUGAGCGAGUAGAGCUCAUUUGGUUAACGGGUGAUCAACUUUUUGCAUCCUUCCAAGGAUUUUUUGUGGCUGUUUUAUACUGUUUUUUAAAUGGCGAAGUAAGAACUGAAGUUACUCAAACUCUAAAAAGAAAAAAAUGGCCAAAAUUAGGUAGUAAAAAAUGGAGAGCACGAUCUACGAGUAGAUGUAAUAGUACGUGUAGUUGUAAUGCAACAAAAAUUGAAGAAAUAAAACAUUCACAAACUUGGUGGAAAUUACCAUGGGCCUGUCUACUUCAAAAUCAAAAUAUUCAUCAAUCUACUCACUCGAUGAUGUUACAACCCAUGGAUGUAGUUUAGCAAGUAGCCGGUACUAUCUGGAUCAGAAUGUGGACCAGAGUCUUAAUAUCUCUGAUGCUUUCUGUCAUCCAAACAAUCACACAUCUUUACUCAAAACUGAUUAUACUAACCAAUCAACCCUUUCAUUUCAUAAUUGUGAAGCACACUCUAUAAAUGCAAUUGACAAAAUGGAUCAUGCCAAUCAACGAUGGAGUGAUUCUGAAUGUUGCAGCUUAGCUUUAGAGCUUCAUUCAUUUUCUUGAUUGACUGAAUUAAAACAGAUACAAAAAACAUAAAAUCCUUCAAGAUCUCAGGGAGGAGAAUAAUCAGCUGGAUAAAUAAUAGUGUCUACAUUGAGCUGAUUUCAGAAAGUCUAAAUAAAACAUUCCGUUAUAAACGAUAUAUUAAAAUAAAUUGAUAAAUUUAUAUAAAAAUAAAUUACCUAUAAAGUCUCAGGCUGAAUUUUUAUA